RNAcentral lists this ribosomal RNA (293 nucleotides) under uncultured Anaerolineaceae bacterium. RNAcentral's name for it is "partial 16S ribosomal RNA". It matches the Rfam family "Bacterial small subunit ribosomal RNA", at positions 1077 to 1382 of the family's 1533-position model. Lineage: Bacteria; Bacillati; Chloroflexota; Anaerolineae; Anaerolineales; Anaerolineaceae. The record is from RNAcentral.
GGGUUAAGUCCGCUAACGAGCCGCAACCCUCGCUGUAUGUUACAUGUGUCAUACAGGACCGCCGGUAUCAAGCCGGAGGAAGGUGGGGAUGACGUCAAGUCCGCAUGGCCUUUAUGUCCGGGGCUACACACACGCUACAAUGGUCGGUACAAUGGGUUGCUAAGCCGCGAGGUGGAGCCAAUCCCCAAAGCCGGCCUCAAGUUCAGAUUGCAGGCUGCAACUCGCCUGCAUGAAGCUGGAGUUGCUAGUAAACGCGCGUCAGCUAUAGUGCGUUGAAUACGUUCUCGGGCCUU